RNAcentral lists this long non-coding RNA (377 nucleotides) under Nicotiana benthamiana. RNAcentral describes it as "long non-coding RNA (NBEN_LNC032408)". Lineage: Eukaryota; Viridiplantae; Streptophyta; Magnoliopsida; Solanales; Solanaceae. The record is from RNAcentral.
CCAACACUAAGUAGGCUCGAGCCAGAUGUCUGCCUGUGCUUCCCCCAGCAUUCUGACAUUCGUCGAUCCUUUUCAAAAACUUUCCUUCCAACUCUACCAAACCUUGCUCCAGAUACCCCAAACGGAUGUUGACGUUGAUAUCCAUAUCUUUCCAUUUGUUGAUUAGCUUCUCUUGGGAUUCCAGUAUUUCUCGAUGUUCGUUCUUAAAUACUCUCAUUCUCUUGCGCAGUUGAUUGUACUUGACUUGCACUUCAGCUUUCUCAUCAAUAAUUCUGUGACCAUGCAUGAACCCCGGACGACCCAAACCAAUGUGAUCCUCUUCUAACCAACAUGUGUAGUGCGGCACACACCCGACAUGAUACCUAUCUGGUUCAAUA